AACAGAUGCAGAACCUAGCGGCGGAGAAACAACGGCCCAUGCCAAAAACGACGCUAGUUGAGAAGAUCCCGGCAAAGAUCAUUGGCGGUCUGGUAGGUACCGCUAAACCUUCCUGAAUAUCGGCCGUGUAGUCCGAACCGCCUCGAAUUUGGUGUAUAUAUCUUCAUACUAACCCUCCUGAUUUCACUUAACCUCUUGGCGCGAACGAAAGCACGAGCAGAGGCGCGAAGAGCACCCAACCUCCCUCUGGCGCAACCUACCCGCGAGUACACCCAGAAACUUCUGCCAGAAACCCGUCACUUCAUUUUGGUAGCGCGCCAAACACGAGCGGGAGCAGAGCCGCGUACCAUCUGCUCCACUCGGCGCUUUCGUCUUCGCCGUCGAAUCGCGCAGCGGCCAACCGUGGUUCCAUCACCAGCGACGAAGUUGAGCAUCUCACUGGCGGUGCGUGAAAUCCCGACACCGUCCUCUCCAGUGCGCGAAUCCUAGCUAUCGCUACCUCCCACUUUCACCGGUUUGUUCUUCCACAUUGAGCUUUUCUUGUGGUUUUCAUUAUUGGUUCAGAGUUCUAAACAUGAAUUUGGGUAUAUCUUCUAUAAAUUGUGGCUAAUUGAAGCGAUUUCGAGUUAGGGAUUUGAUUCAGUACGAUUAAUUAGCAGAUUGCAAGUUUAUCUUCCAAAAGAUAACAAAUAUUAUAGUAUAAUACCU
Arachis ipaensis is the source of this 708-nucleotide non-coding RNA. NCBI's taxonomy places the organism in Eukaryota, Viridiplantae, Streptophyta, Magnoliopsida, Fabales, Fabaceae. The record is from RefSeq and is a predicted model, not a curated record.